GCGCUGAAGUGUAAAAACACUUUGUUUUCCUGCCCCAUUGAAAAUCUUUCGGAAUACUUCUUAUAUAUUAGAUAUAAUAUCCUUAUAGUUGAAUGAAUGUCUGUUUUUCUUUAGAUUUCUGUUUAAAGGUGAAUAACUUCUAACUUAUUUUUAACAAUCAGUGUUACGAUAGUCGUUUACACACAUUAUAAAUAUAUAUCUAUACGGUU
Non-coding RNA from Cinara cedri, 209 nucleotides. Lineage: Eukaryota; Metazoa; Arthropoda; Insecta; Hemiptera; Aphididae. The record is from the annotation of a GenBank genome assembly.